GUUGCCGUCCAGUAGCUCUUCAGGCUGCUUUCACGUGUUUACAGUUACCCCUCAUUCUGAUGACUGCAGUGUUUCCAAUUUAACACUGAUGGAAACUAACGUUUUUCCAGUGUCAACAGGCAGAGGUGAGAUGCGCUGGUCCCCUCCUGUGUUUUUGUUUAAUAAGACAGGUGUGGUAAGGUCCCUUGCAUCAUACUUGUUUUGGCGGAUUUAUCCCCUCUGUUUAGGGGAUUUAACCAAUCAGGAUCAAGCUCUUAAUCCAGUCAGGUGUUAGGUAAUAGAGGGAUUAGGAAGCCUUUAACAGACUGAAGACUACAGAAUGAAAUAGUUAGAGAAUACUUGAAAAAAGAAGAUUUCAGGCAGGAGAGCACGUUUGAAUGAGGAGAGGCUGCCUCUUAUUUAUGCAAUCUUUCAUUCUGACGCACAUACAAGCACAUAACUGAUAAUUAAGGCAACAGCUCAGCCAGCUUCUCGCCUGCUUGCUGAAUAAAGAAGUAAUUUAAGUGACGCACACAAACAUGCGCAUACAUAUAUUAAUUCAUAAUUCUCAAACCAAGUGGACCUUUUUUCUGAUCUUUUCCGCUGUUACAUGCAUGCAGUCUUUCCAACACACAUAUAAACACAUGUACUCUCAUUUUUACUUCUCUACCUCUCUGGCACAUGCUUAUUUUCCUCUGCAGAGUUUCAGUGGUGUGAAAUCCCUGGUUGAGGUGAGAAUUGAAUGUUCAUUAUUCAUGAAGAGAGCUUUCUCAAUAGCACAGAUACAGGAGCUCACACACUCAUACAGGCAAACGCACAACCUCACUAGUGAUUUAUUUCCAGGCAGCGCAUUAAUAAUUGAUGCAAGAUUAUAUCACCCUUUCAUCCAUCACUCUUUAGUUGCUGUGGAUGCUCACUCUGGUCACCACUCCCGUGAUUAGCUGAGCAGACACCAAAUAAUCUGGAGAUAUACUAUCACACUCAUGCACUACACCCUUGCCUCUUCGAGCAAUGAUCAAAUAACAGAUGGAGAGGAUUACAAAAGUCAGAGUAUCUCCUCUAUCAGUGGUCAGGACAGUCAUUUCUGGAUACUGGAACUCUGGGGACUUGUGCACUAAAGUGACAACAUUUCAUAUCUUUUUUUUACUGGAAACAGCAGAUCAUGAAAUAACCCAAAAAUCCUGUCUACUUGACUUUUAGCUUGUACUAAAAGUUGCAAAUUUUCUGGCUUUCCCACCACCUAUCCACCCAUCGUCUGUAGUCCUUACCUUUGAGGACUGCUCCAGGGGCCAGAGCCAUCCCAGCUGAUGUUGAGUGAAAGUCAGGAUAUACCCUGGACGGGUCUUGAGUCUAUAUGGCAGAGCAGAUAAGCCGUCACACUCAAACUUGGAGAUAUUUAAAGUGAUUGAUUGACCGUAAAAGCAUGUUUUUAGAUUGUGUGAGAAAGCCAUAAUUGAAGCCUAGAGGGAGCCCAGGCGUGUAUGCAAACUCUAUAAGGACAAGCCCCAAGAUGGGACUCAAACCAGGAACCUUGAUGUUAAGAGGCAACAGCUCUAAGUACUGCACCACCAUGUAACCCCUGUCUUAAAUACACUAAACCUGGUUUGUACUUCUAGGAAGAAUCUGCAAAGAGACAUCUAUGUUCACAAACUUUGAGCGUUUAUACUUUAUAUUUAUGCAAACAUAAAUGCAAGCUGUAAGGUUACACUCAUGAUCAAACACCAACCCGACUGAGAGGCCUGCGUUAGCAUAGAUAGCAUGCUACCACCAUGUAUGAAAGCCUAUGACUGAAAACAAAUAUCCCUUCAAGUAGAAAGACUAUCAAGCCAUAUCUUAAAUGAAACAGAGAUCAUUUCCUUACAUAUAUUUUAGUCAUUGUUAAAUAUGUAAAACGGUGCAUUGUUUGUUACCUGUCCUCCACCUCCACGUUUGAAUUUCAAAACCUGGGACUGCCAAGCAGAAGAGAAGUGUGCCAUUGGCUUAAAAGGGGGCGUGCAAAGUGGAAGGCACCAUGUAUGGAUGAUGUGGAGGGGUGUUGGAACAGUUGACUUCUGAGUUUUUGAGCCAACUUGGAAAUCCGGACACCUGAGUACAGAUUUUAUAUCUUUAUAAAGAGCUUUCAAAUAGAGAUAACAAGAUCUAAUUGCUGUUGUCGAGACCCACAUCCAUGUAUUUAUUCAUUUUAGAGGUCUGAAGUUUUCAUUGAUAGUGUAGGACUUACUGUUAAGCCAAAUAACAAGGGCAAAUUCAACAAAGAGUGGUCAAAUAGGAUCCAGACAUUCUUCAUCAGCUGCAUACCAGAGCAAGGACCCUCAUAUAGAGAUGCAACACUGCUCUAAUCCUAAUCCUCUUCAUUAUAGUGGUAUGAUAAUGAGUCCAUAUUUAUCAAAGUAGGAUUAAUUUGAGAUGGGCAUUAAUAUGUAGGAUUUAGCUCUAUAAGUUAAACCCUGUUAUCCCAACGUAUCCGUCUGCAGCCACAUAGACAUUGUUAAAGAGCUGAUUUUGUGGUGCUGUUGAACAGUUACACGGGUCUCUCUGAACUUUGCAUUGCUGGAUUGGACUUUAGGGAUCAUAGGCACCUAAACUAGGAUCGCAUCUGCUCUGCAACUUCUCUUCUUCUCGCAGUUUGUUUUAACUGCCUAAUGAUCCGUAAACAGGGGCUGACAAGGGUAGACAAUCUGCAGUGACCUGAACAGUCUUCAUUGGGUAAAAUGUGCCACAAAUGCCCUAAUUAUGCACAAGUCCAAUAACAACUUUGACUAAACUGUACAGCAAAGUGUCAGGAAAUCUGCACUUACCACGAAUGGGAUCCAAAUGCAUUAAGGAUUUAAAGUAAAAGUUGACUGUGAAAUACAAAUGCUGCAAAUCUGGAUUUUAUGGCAGAAAAACUCAAGGGUUAUAGGGAAAUGUAGAUAGACCUGUUCUUUUUUCCAGCAGCCUCUUGUCAGUCCUGUCUACAGAAGGGGGCAGAGUACUUCCCUGAACAGGAGCAGGUGCAUAGGUGAAAAGCUGAGGCCAUACUGGGUUCAGAGCUGGUCCCAGGUUGAGGAUGGUUUGAGGACACUCUGUGCAGGGUUUGAACAUAUAAUUCUGACCCUCGCUAAAUCACAGAACGACUAAAAUGAUGACAGAGAGAUCAGUGAGCCUCAGAGUCAGAAAAGCUGAAGGAUGAAAUGAACCCUGGAUACUGCCUUAAGAGGCCUGGUAGAGGGGCUCAGAGAGCAGCUCCAAAAGCUUGGGCCAACCAGUCAGUGCAGAGGGGUCACAAGUGACACCUAGGCUACAGAGAGAGUGAAACAAAACCUGCAGGCUGUCCACAAAAACCCUGAGAUAAUCCAAGAACACAAGAUAGACCUGGAAGAACUCAAGGUAGUCCAGGAAGAACCUGAAAACCAGAGGAGAAGAUAUCUGUGUGGGGGAUGAUCAAAAGCAUUUGGGUUUUUUUCCAGAGAGGACCGAGACAGCAAAUACUCCCAAACCACCCCUUACACUUUUUAGCCAUUUUCUUGGUGAUAUGGCAAAACCCCUGAAACAGAAUCAAGGGUUAGCUGCUAAAUGCUAACUUGGCUUCCAGGUAAUUAGUUUAACAUUAUGUGUAUCGUAAAGCGAGAGAUUCAGAGCUUUGUUCAUGAAACAGCUUCCUGAUGAAGCUGAAAAAAAGACACUUAAGCAGGUGUUGAAUGUGAACAAUGAGCUUAAAUUUUCAGUCUUCGUAGAGCUGGGAUUAUAAGUGAUAAUUAUCUGUGGGUUGUCGCUAUAAGACAGCACUUUCACAUGAGUAUGUGAUCCUAUUGAUGUAUUGUUGCUAUUUAAAGAUGUGAUGUGUGAAGAUGUGGAGUAUAAUCUCCCACUAUCAUUUUCUCAUCCUGAUUCUCAACAUAAUUAUAACUCAUUUAGAUUACUGCUGACAUUUAAAAUGCCCACUCAUAUAUUAUCCUAAUAGGGUCAUUGUCUCGUUAGCAUUUCAUUUCUUUGUUUAAUCUCCACAUGACAACCUUCCUUAAGCCUGAAAUAACACAGUCCUUGAAUCACAAACCUGAGGUCCCUGUGGUCAACACAGAUAUCAUGUGACUUCCCUCGCCUUUACCCAGUGAUUCACUGCUAUAUGCUGAUUUAAUUCAUGACUCUAAUGUUGACUUUUCCUCUUAUUAAAAGGUUAUCACAGCUGAGAAUCAGGUCCUUAUCUUUUAAUAAUCAAACUCAACUGUCAGGCUUCACCUUAGUCUGUCAUUAUGAAACGGGGAGCUGAGUUAAUGAUGAAAAGUUCCCAUAGGUGAUUGAUUAACCCUCAAAUUGAGUUAAAAAUCUCCUCAGAAAAAACAAGCCUUCAUGUUUUUUUUUUUCUGAUUUAAAGCUUUAUAUAUUAAUGAGCAUGCCAGGCCAGUAGGUGGCGAUAAUCACUCUGACACAUCAGGCAUAACAGGAACAAAUCAGCAUCCUCUUAAAGAGGGAGGAGAUUGUAAACUUUUUUUCUUUUUUUUUUUUUAACUUGUACAAAGUAAGAAAUUUACAGAGCCCCUCUAGUGACAUUGGAGAAAAAAAAUAAUGCUUGGCCACCUGAUAGUAUCUCUAGCUAGUGGUCUGUGCUAUUAUGAAGUGAAAAAGCCAUCAUUUGUGUUUGGACAACAUUUCGUCUCAGAGUUAGUGAUCCCGAAAG
RNAcentral lists this long non-coding RNA (4636 nucleotides) under Xyrichtys novacula (pearly razorfish). Lineage: Eukaryota; Metazoa; Chordata; Actinopteri; Labriformes; Labridae. The record is from RNAcentral.